Molecule: long non-coding RNA, 558 nt
Organism: Vicia villosa (hairy vetch)
Lineage: Eukaryota; Viridiplantae; Streptophyta; Magnoliopsida; Fabales; Fabaceae
Exons: 2
Source: RefSeq, a predicted model, not a curated record
CCUCACGUUUUCUUUCUGAAAAAAAACAACAUUCGAGCAAGCUCUCCUCUCUCAAUCUCUCGCUGUGAACAACAACAACAACAAUGAUCUCAUAUUCUCCCUCGGUAUUCAUCUCUCUCGCUCUCAGCUCACUCUCUCGGCGUGAUUCUCUCACUCUCAAAAUUCAUGGCUAAACGGAUUCAUGAACAACAACAAUAUAUAAAAGCAAUAACCCAUAACCCCAAUUGAAAACCCUAAAGCCCCAAUUUCAGCAUAGUUGGUGGUAUUACAUUUUACACAGUAAAGAAAUGAAGGGUUAGCGACGAGCAAUACAUGAAAAGAGAAAUGGAAUUGACAAAGACUACACCUUAUUCAACAACGAUUCUCCUCGGGUUUGGCUUGUUUUGUGCAGAGUCUCUGGGCUGGUAAUGGAGCAGAAUAAACCGCAGGGCUGAUAGUGAUGGGGCAACCUGAUGAAGAUAGAACCAACAACUCUUUUUUCUCUUUUUUUUAUUUAUUUACUGAAGCUGUAUGUAUUAUUAUUUUUGUUAUAAAAGUUUUCAUGGAUUGUUGGAAUGA